UCGCGGAUCAGCAUGCCGCGGUGAAUACGUUCCCGGGCCUUGUACACACCGCCCGUCACACCAUGAGAGUCGGGAACACCCGAAGUCCGUAGCCUAACCGCAAGGAGGGCGCGGCCGAAGGUGGGUUCGAUAAUUGGGGUGAAGUCGUAACAAGGUAGC
This 159-nucleotide ribosomal RNA is filed under the name uncultured bacterium. RNAcentral's name for it is "partial 16S ribosomal RNA". It matches the Rfam family "Bacterial small subunit ribosomal RNA", at positions 1342 to 1500 of the family's 1533-position model. The record is from RNAcentral.